GAUUGCCCUAGGCCUUGUCCUCUUCCUGGAUGCAGCUGUCUCCAGUAACUGGCAGGAUGGAAAGCUUUACCUCGCCAUAGAACACCCUGUGUCUUACACUUCCUUCUAAGGUGGAUGCUCCAGGAAAUUGCUACACAAUGCUGCGUUAUAAGAUCUCAGCCUACAGCCGUGUAACAUCUGGAACAAAUCCUCAACGCCCAGACAUCACACUCACUUAAGUCAGGCAUCUUUAUUUCACAAGUCAAAGUGUCAGCAGACAAAAAGCCAAGCCUUCUGCAAGGAAUCUUCUCCCCAAAACCAUAGCACAUACAGAUCCCUCCAGUCUCCACCGCAUCCUUCUUUACCCACGUCAGCUUCUGGGCCAGUUACUCAAAGGCUGUAAAGUUCUGCUUGAGGACUAGGGUAGGUGUUACACAAUCCUCCCAUAAACUUUCUCUCC
Molecule: RNA transcript, 439 nt
Organism: Mus caroli (Ryukyu mouse)
Lineage: Eukaryota; Metazoa; Chordata; Mammalia; Rodentia; Muridae
Source: RefSeq, a predicted model, not a curated record